CCUACGGGGCGCAGCAGUGGGGAAUAUUGCACAAUGGGGGAAACCCAGAUGCAGCGACGCCGCGUGAAGGACGAAGUAUUUCGGUACGUAAACUUCUAUCAGCAGGGAAGAAAAUGACGGUACCUGACCAAGAAGCCCCGGCUAACUACGUGCCAGCAGCCGCGGUAAUACGUAGGGGGCAAGCGUUAUCCGGAUUUACUGGGUGUAAAGGGAGCGUAGGCGGCUGUGUAAGCCAGAAGUGAAAGCCCGAGGCUCAACCACGGGACUGCUUUUGGAACUACACGGCUUGAUUGCAGGAGAGGCAA
Molecule: ribosomal RNA, 305 nt
Filed under: uncultured bacterium
Lineage: Bacteria
Description: bacterial SSU rRNA
Rfam family: Bacterial small subunit ribosomal RNA
Source: RNAcentral